CCUCUUAUUUCAAGAAAUAUAAGAAUUCCAAAAAGUUUCCCUGCACACACACAAAAAAAAAAAAAAAAUGGAAAAUUCAAUCUGGGCUUCCAUCUUUUUAGGCGGGGAAAAAUGAACUCUUCAUUGACCGCCAAAAUGCCGCUGUGGUAGCAUAAAGAAAUUUGAAACUCCCACAUCAGGUGCUCUCUUCGACGUCGUGAUCUAUACACAACAACGUAAUGACCACAAAAAAAAAAAAAAGUUUGUGUUUCCUAGCAGACGAGUCAAUCACACAGCGUUAACUUUCUCUACAGCGUCCCGACGCCCUUUUUUCUUUGAAAAAACAAAAAAGAAAAAAAAACGGGAAGAGGGAAUAACACACCCUACAGUUGGAAGAUCCUGUUACACACCUUACGAGCAACACAGUGGAAAGAAGUUCUUUUUUCGUUGUCAACGUUAGGGAGAUAGCAAUCGGCACCCCCUCCUUUAACGUACCACACAGAUUUUUUCGUCUGUUAAAAAGAUGGUGGUAGGGGGGUUCUUUUCCCCUCCACCUUGUGUGUGUGUUAAAAAUGUGAACAAGUGGCUCUGCCCCUGCUUUGUGUGUGUGUGUGUGUGUGCAAUGAAAGACGAUACCGACGAUGGUUGACAUUCAAGAUGCUGCCGGUUUCUUUUUUCGGGGGUUCUCAAACCGUUGGCAGGGCGCCAUUUUCCUUUUUUUUUUGGUGUUCAGAUAUAAAUCUGUCAAACGUGAAAAACGUAUUCAAACUGUACAUUUUUUUUUUUAAAGAACGAGGGUACGUAUUAUUAUUAUAUAUUUUUGUUUUACUUGUUGCGUGUAUUUAAAUGUUUGGUAAGUCCAGAACAAAAAAAAAAGGGAAGAAAAUUAACAAGUUUUGUGUGUCGUUAGUCCAGGCGUGAUUUCCUUCGUGAUGAAAAAAAAAGGCAACACGUAAGGGCGGCCAUCUUGUUUUCAUAGCCAACGGCACUAAUUAAAAGCCCUGGAGACAUAGAACGGCCGCAAGCUUCUUCCUCUAGUCAUCAUCAUCAUCUUCUUCAUAUACUGCUGGACAAUGACUGCCAAAUGAUGGUGUUCCAUGGCUAUAUAACAUCCGCGACCUCUGGGCUUGACCCCCUCCCAUUUUCCGGCCUUAGGGCAACGCAUCUUCUGUGAGUAAAAGUCAACUUAUUUUUUUUUUUUCUUUUUUGUGGACUCGAUGCUACAUACCCCCAAAAACUACUGUAUGCCUCUUUUUAUGUAAAUGACCCCCUUCGUGAAUUACCUCCACUCUGCGGCUUUACCGGAGCUUCUUCCCAGUGGGUUUCUUUUACUGCCCGGCAGCACCUGCAGGCCAUGAUGGCACCAACAACGGACAUGACGAAGUUCUUUUUUAUUUAUUUUUUUUUCUCUCUUUCUUAAAUAAGGGGAUAACCGAUUCACCUUAUUCCGGAGCAAUCAUCUUUUUUUUUUUUUUUUUUGCUUCUAACUCCGCCCAGUUAAUUACACACGUUCAGACUAUCCAGAAGAUUUUUGUCUUCCUCUUCUUUUCUUUUUUACAACCUGAAGCAGAUCAUUUUCAAGAGUAACAAAUAAAAUGCGAGAAAAAAGGACGUUUUGAGUAAAAAAAAACACGAAGACGGAUAAUUUUAAACACUUAAACAAAUACAAAUUAAGGGUGAAAUAACACAACAAGAGUUUCGAUCGUUGUCGCGUUCACAUUUCGAGUUGUAUGUCAAGUUUACCCAAUUUCACGCCAGGAAUAAAUUAAAGAAAAUCAUUGUUGAUACAAGCAUUUCUGUGAUUGGUCAACCAAAGUCAACAGGUCCCCCUUUCUUAAACAAGUGUCACACACACACACACACACACACACCUAAAGAAUUGGAAGAAAGAAAACAGAUAACUCUUUAACCUGUAUAUGUGCGUGUGUGCAAAAAUCGUAUCUUAAUAAAUCCUGUUUUUCUUUUGCCAAAAGAGUUAGCCAAGCAGAAGAACAUGGGGGGAACAACACACACAAAGGGAAAUAGAAACCCCCACCCUAAAAAAAGGUUCCUCUUCGGACGCCAGUUGGAAAAAAAGAAGAAAAAUUAGAGAAUGAAAGGAAGAAGAAGAAGUGGUUGGUUUGUAGAGAGAACUCGAUGAGUUAGACGAGAUGGUAUUUCCGGCCUGGGGACCCCGACUAUAUGGCCAUGGUACAAAAGAGGGGAUUUUUGUUUGUCUGUAAUAAGACAAGAAGAGAGGGGGGAGAGAGAGAGAAAACCCAAGUUGCUGGCCUCGACUCGCCCUUUUUCCUCUUUUGCGUGUGUGUAAAGGAAGAAGAAGAAGAAGAAAAAAAAGAGCCCCUUCAACCCCAACAGGUCGUUUCGCCUUUAAAGUGGGGGGGAGAACGAAACAAAGAGGAAGUUGGCAACCACUGCCAUCCUCUUUUGCCCCGACGGGCGACCAAAAACACCCCCAGAAAUCUUCGCUUUCAAGAAAAACCUGAACGUAAAAUGCAUUUUCGAUUUUCCAUUUUUAAAGAUUUAAAUUAAGGACAUAAGAAAUGGGGAUGGUGUAAAAUUAUAUAAUUGAAUUAUAGAGUGUGUGUGUGUGUGUGUGUGUGCAGUAAAUAUAUAGCUGAGAGGAUGCAUGAUAACCCCAUGAACGUUAAGCAAAAGAGGCCGGAAGGGAAUGAUUACACUUUUCCGUCCUGUUUCUCUCUCUCUCUUGACUCUUCAAGAGCUUUAUUUUUUAUUAUUAUUUUCUCUUUGUGUUGUUGUUCUGGAGGGACAAUUUAAGAGAUAAAAGAUGACUAUACAUAAAAACAAUGUUUUGUGUUUUUAAAAUCUUCUUCUUAAUAAACAAAAUAUAUAAAAUUAUGACUUGAAAUGAUCAAUUCAAAUCAGAAAAAAAUUACGUUUGCAACCGAC
Daphnia magna is the source of this 2886-nucleotide long non-coding RNA. RefSeq lists it as uncharacterized. NCBI's taxonomy places the organism in Eukaryota, Metazoa, Arthropoda, Branchiopoda, Diplostraca, Daphniidae. The record is from RefSeq and is a predicted model, not a curated record. The transcript is spliced from 3 exons.